CAGGAUGAACGCUAGCGGCAGGCUUAACACAUGCAAGUCGAGGGGCAGCGGGAUGUAGCAAUACAUUGCCGGCGACCGGCGGAUGGGUGCGUAACGCGUAUGCAACCUACCUUAUACAGGGGAAUAACCUUUCGAAAGGGAGACUAACACCCCAUAGUAUUGAUUUAAGGCAUCUUAGAUUAAUUAAAUAUUUAUAGGUAUAAGAUGGGCAUGCGUAUGAUUAGCUAGUUGGUAAGGUAACGGCUUACCAAGGCGACGAUCAUUAGGGGUUCUGAGAGGAAGGUCCCCCACACUGGUACUGAGACACGGACCAGACUCCUACGGGAGGCGGCAGUGAGGAAUAUUGGUCAAUGGGCGCAAGCCUGAACCAGCCAUGCCGCGUGCAGGAAAGACGGCCUUAUGGGUUGUAAACUGCUUUUACAUAAGACUAACCGUAUAUUUGCGAAUAUACCUGAAUGUAUUAUGAGAAUAAGGAUCGGCUAACUCCGUGCCAGCCGCUGC
This 501-nucleotide ribosomal RNA is filed under the name uncultured bacterium. RNAcentral describes it as "bacterial SSU rRNA". It matches the Rfam family "Bacterial small subunit ribosomal RNA", at positions 25 to 518 of the family's 1533-position model. The record is from RNAcentral.